RNAcentral lists this ribosomal RNA (165 nucleotides) under uncultured bacterium. Its description in RNAcentral is "partial 16S rRNA". It matches the Rfam family "Bacterial small subunit ribosomal RNA", at positions 355 to 511 of the family's 1533-position model. The record is from RNAcentral.
UAGGGAAUCUUCGGCAAUGGACGAAAGUCUGACCGAGCAACGCCGCGUGAGUGAAGAAGGUUUUCGGAUCGUAAACCUCUGUUGGUAGAGAAGAACGUUGGUGAGAGUGGAAAGCUCAUCAAGUGACGGUAACUACCCAGAAAGGGACGGCUAACUACGUGCUAG